RNAcentral lists this non-coding RNA (963 nucleotides) under Trichomonas vaginalis G3. RNAcentral's name for it is "Eukaryotic small subunit ribosomal RNA". It matches the Rfam family "Eukaryotic small subunit ribosomal RNA", at positions 353 to 1466 of the family's 1831-position model. Lineage: Eukaryota; Parabasalia; Trichomonadida; Trichomonadidae. The record is from Rfam by way of RNAcentral.
UCACGGGUAACGGGCGGUUACCGUCGGACUGCCGGAGAAGGCGCCUGAGAGAUAGCGACUAUAUCCACGGGUAGCAGCAGGCGCGAAACUUUCCCACUCGAGACUUUCGGAGGAGGUAAUGACCAGUUCCAUUGGUGCCUUUUGGUACUGUGGAUAGGGGUACGGUUUUCCACCGUACCGAAACCUAGCAGAGGGCCAGUCUGGUGCCAGCAGCUGCGGUAAUUCCAGCUCUGCGAGUUUGCUCCCAUAUUGUUGCAGUUAAAACGCCCGUAGUCUGAAUUGGCCAGCAAUGGUCGUACGUAUUUUUACGUUCACUGUGAACAAAUCAGGACGCUUAGAGUAUGGCCACAUGAAUGACUCAGCGCAGUAUGAAGUCUUUGUUUUCUUCCGAAAACAAGCUCAAUGAGAGCCAUCGGGGGUAGAUCUAUCUCAUGACGAGUGGUGGAAUACUUUGACUCAUGAGAGAGAAGCUGAGGCGAAGGCGUCUACCUAGAGGGUUUCUGUCGAUCAAGGGCGAGAGUAGGAGUAUCCAACAGGAUUAGAGACCCUGGUAGUUCCUACCUUAAACGAUGCCGACAGGAGUUUGUCAUUUGUUAAUGGCAGAAUCUUUGGAGAAAUCAUAGUUCUUGGGCUCUGGGGGAACUACGACCGCAAGGCUGAAACUUGAAGGAAUUGACGGAAGGGCACACCAGGGGUGGAGCCUGUGGCUUAAUUUGAAUCAACACGGGGAAACUUACCAGGACCAGAUGUUUUUUAUGACUGACAGGCUUCGGGUCUUUCAGGAUAUUGUUUUUGGUGGUGCAUGGCCGUUGGUGGUGCGUGGGUUGACCUGUCUAGCGUUGAUUCAGCUAACGAGCGAGAUUAUCGCCAAUUAUUUACUUUGCCGAAGUCCUUCGGUUAAAGUUCUAAUUGGGACUCCCUGCGAUUUUAGCAGGUGAAGAGGGUAGCAAUAACAGGUCCGUG